RNAcentral lists this ribosomal RNA (430 nucleotides) under uncultured bacterium. RNAcentral's name for it is "partial 16S ribosomal RNA". It matches the Rfam family "Bacterial small subunit ribosomal RNA", at positions 29 to 507 of the family's 1533-position model. The record is from RNAcentral.
AACGAACGCUGGCGGCAGGCCUAACACAUGCAAGUCGAGCGCCCCGCAAGGGGAGCGGCGGACGGGUGAGUAACGCGUGGGAAUAUGCCCUUUGCUACGGAAUAGUCUCGGGAAACUGGGGGUAAUACCGUAUACGCCCUUUGGGGGAAAGAUUUAUCGGCGAAGGAUUAGCCCGCGUUGGAUUAGGUAGUUGGUGGGGUAAUGGCCUACCAAGCCGACGAUCCAUAGCUGGUUUGAGAGGAUGAUCAGCCACACUGGGACUGAGACACGGCCCAGACUCCUACGGGAGGCAGCAGUGGGGAAUCUUAGACAAUGGGGCAACCCUGAUCUAGCCAUGCCGCGUGAGUGAUGAAGGCCUUAGGGUUGUAAAGCUCUUUCAGCUGGGAAGAUAAUGACGGUACCAGCAGAAGAAGCCCCGGCUAACUCCGUG